This 486-nucleotide ribosomal RNA is filed under the name uncultured organism. Its description in RNAcentral is "bacterial SSU rRNA". It matches the Rfam family "Bacterial small subunit ribosomal RNA", at positions 28 to 507 of the family's 1533-position model. The record is from RNAcentral.
GAUGAACGCUAGCGGGAGGCUUAAUACAUGCAAGUCGAGCGGUAACUCUGAGUAGCAAUACGAAGAGCUAGAGCGGCGCACGGGUGAGUAACGCGUACAUAACCUACCCUUUACUGGGGGAAAGUCACGGGAAACUGUGAAUAAUACCGCAUAGUAUUAAUAAUCUGCAUGGAUUAUUAAUUAAAGAUUUAUUGGUAAGGGAUGGGUGUGCGUCUGAUUAGCUAGUUGGUAGGGUAACGGCCUACCAAGGCGAUGAUCAGUAGGGGGCGUGAGAGCGUGAUCCCCCACACGGGUACUGAGACACGGACCCGACUCCUACGGGAGGCAGCAGUAAGGAAUAUUGGUCAAUGGACGAAAGUCUGAACCAGCCAUCCCGCGUGCAGGAAGAAGGGGCUCUGCCUUGUAAACUGCUUUUGAAUGGGACGAAAGAUACAUUUGCGAAUGUAGUUGACGGUACCAUUAGAAUAAGCACCGGCUAACUCCGUG